Podarcis lilfordi (Lilford's wall lizard) is the source of this 75-nucleotide non-coding RNA. The record is from the annotation of a GenBank genome assembly. NCBI's taxonomy places the organism in Eukaryota, Metazoa, Chordata, Lepidosauria, Squamata, Lacertidae.
GGAAGGACUGUAGCUCAGUGCUAGAGCAUAUGCUUGGAAUGCAGAAGCUUCUUGAUUCAAUCCCGGGCAUUUCCA